UCUUUCAGCAGGGAAGAAGCGAAAGUGACGGUACCUGCAGAAGAAGCGCCGGCUAACUACGUGCCAGCAGCCGCGGUAAUACGUAGGGCGCAAGCGUUGUCCGGAAUUAUUGGGCGUAAAGAGCUCGUAGGCGGCUUGUCACGUCGGUUGUGAAAGCCCGGGGCUUAACCCCGGGUCUGCAGUCGAUACGGGCAGGCUAGAGUGUGGUAGGGGAGAUCGGAAUUCCUGGUGUAGCGGUGAAAUGCGCAGAUAUCAGGAGGAACACCGGUGGCGAAGGCGGAUCUCUGGGCCAUUACUGACGCUGAGGAGCGAAAGCGUGGGGAGCGAACAGGAUUAGAUACCCUGGUAGUCCACGCCGUAAACGGUGGGAACUAGGUGUUGGCGACAUUCCACGUCGUCGGUGCCGCA
Molecule: ribosomal RNA, 408 nt
Filed under: Streptomyces rectiviolaceus
Lineage: Bacteria; Bacillati; Actinomycetota; Actinomycetes; Kitasatosporales; Streptomycetaceae
Description: bacterial SSU rRNA
Rfam family: Bacterial small subunit ribosomal RNA
Source: RNAcentral